Long non-coding RNA from Catharus ustulatus (Swainson's thrush), 370 nucleotides. RefSeq lists it as uncharacterized. The record is from RefSeq and is a predicted model, not a curated record. The transcript is spliced from 3 exons. Lineage: Eukaryota; Metazoa; Chordata; Aves; Passeriformes; Turdidae.
CAGUUUUACAGGACUGUUCUGUAGAAGGUUGCACUAAGGACAUAGGUGCUUUGUAGAAGAUUCCAUCCUUGGGUAACUAUUCCUGCUUGGCACUUCUCCAGCUGCAAGGGGGUCACAGAAGAGAGUAAGUCAAAUUGCCAGAACUGAGUUUCCCACUGCCAGAGGUGAAAGGAGAGAGCUUCACUUUCCCCACCAGAGGAUAGCUGGAUGUCCACCACCACUAUGCCACCCAACAAAAGGAAUUUGGUGGGCUGGUCUUCAGGAUCAGAAGCAGAGGGGGAAAAAUAAUAGUUAUCGGAUAUUGCAGUUCUCUGGCUGCUCUGCUGUGUGUGCUGAAAUGGUCCAAGUUUCUUCAGGACCAAAGACAAAU